This 1361-nucleotide ribosomal RNA is filed under the name Precis tugela. RNAcentral's name for it is "16S ribosomal RNA". The record is from RNAcentral. Lineage: Eukaryota; Metazoa; Arthropoda; Insecta; Lepidoptera; Nymphalidae.
GGGUAAAAUUAAAAAAAUUAUAAAUAAUAAAAAAAAUUUUAAUAUUAAAAAUAAGUGACUGGGGGGUUUAAGUAUUUUUAAUAGAAAAAAUUAAUAUUUUUAUAGUUAAGUAUUACUGUAAAGGAAUAUAUGAAAUAAUUAAAUAAAAAAAAAUUAAUUAAAAAGUAAAUUUAAUUUAUUGUAUCUUGUGUAUCAGAGUUUAUUAAAUAAUAAUAAUUUAAUUAAAUAAAUCUCGAAUUUAAAAGAGUUAAUUAAUUAAAAAAUUUAAUGUUGUAUAAUUAUUUUUAAUAGUUAAUUAGAAAUGAAAUGUUAAUCGUUUUUAAAUAUAUCUAGUUUUUUUAGAAAAAAAUUUAAUUUAAAAUUAAAAUAAUUUUAUAAUUAUUUAAUUAAUUAUAAAAAUUUUAAAUUUAAUAUUUUAGGGGAUAAGCUUUAAAUUAAAAAUUUAUAAUUAAAUUUAUUAAAAUUAAAAUUUUUAAUAUUUAUAUUGUUUAAAAAUUAUAAUUUAUUAUAAAAAAUUUUAAUUAAAAAUAAAAUUUAAAAUAUUAAAAUUUAAAUUUUUAUAAAAAAAUAAUUUAUAAUUUAAUAAAAUUAGAAAUAAUGAUAAAAUUAGUAUAAUAUAUAUAUAUAUAUAUAUAUAUAUAUAUAAUUAAAAUAAAAAUUUAUUAAAAAAUAAAUUAAAGGAAUUCGGCAAAAAUUUAUGUUCACUUGUUUAUCAAAAACAUGUCUUUUUGAUUAUAAUUUAAAGUCUAAUCUGCCCACUGAUAUUAUAAAUUAAAGGGCUGCAGUAUAUUGACUGUACAAAGGUAGCAUAAUCAUUAGUCUUUUAAUUGGAGACUUGUAUGAAAGAUUUGAUGAGAUAUAAACUGUCUCUAUUUUAAAAUUAGAAAUUAAUUUUUUAGUAAAAAAGCUAAAAUAAAGUUAAAAGACGAGAAGACCCUAUAGAGUUUUAUAUUUUAUUUUUUUUUAUAAAAAUUUAUAAUUAAUUAAUAAAAAAGGAUAAAAUAUUUUAUUGGGGUGAUAGAAAAAUUUAAUAAACUUUUUUUAUUUUUUAACAUAAAUAAGUGAAUAAUUGAUCCAUUAAUAAUGAUUAAAAGAAAAAAUUACCUUAGGGAUAACAGCGUAAUAUUUUUUUUUAGUACAAAUAAAAAAAAAAGUUUGCGACCUCGAUGUUGGAUUAAGAUAAAAUUUAAAUGCAGAAGUUUAAAAUUUUGAUCUGUUCGAUCAUUAAAAUCUUACAUGAUCUGAGUUCAAACCGGUGUGAGCCAGGUUGGUUUCUAUCUUUAAUAAAUAAAAAUAUUUUAGUACGAAAGGAUUAAAUAUUUAAAAUAGUUUUAUUUAAUUGAAUAUUAAUAAAUGAAUUA